RNAcentral lists this ribosomal RNA (271 nucleotides) under uncultured bacterium. RNAcentral describes it as "partial 16S ribosomal RNA". It matches the Rfam family "Bacterial small subunit ribosomal RNA", at positions 524 to 794 of the family's 1533-position model. The record is from RNAcentral.
UACGGAGGGGGCUAGCGUUGUUCGGAAUUACUGGGCGUAAAGCGCACGUAGGCGGCUUUGUAAGUUAGAGGUGAAAGCCCGGGGCUCAACCCCGGAAUUGCCUUUAAGACUGCAUCGCUUGAACGUCGGAGAGGUGAGUGGAAUUCCGAGUGUAGAGGUGAAAUUCGUAGAUAUUCGGAAGAACACCAGUGGCGAAGGCGGCUCACUGGACGACUGUUGACGCUGAGGUGCGAAAGCGUGGGGAGCAAACAGGAUUAGAAACCCGUGUAGU